GGAAGCGUGGCCGAGCGGUUUAAGGCACUAGUCUUGAAAACUAGCGAAGGGGUAACCCUUCCGUGAGUUCGAAUCUCACCGCUUCCG
RNAcentral lists this transfer RNA (87 nucleotides) under Nitrosospira briensis. It matches the Rfam family "tRNA". Rfam says of the family: Transfer RNA (tRNA) molecules are approximately 80 nucleotides in length. The record is from Rfam by way of RNAcentral. Lineage: Bacteria; Pseudomonadati; Pseudomonadota; Betaproteobacteria; Nitrosomonadales; Nitrosomonadaceae.